Molecule: unclassified non-coding RNA, 249 nt
Filed under: Hevea brasiliensis (rubber tree)
Lineage: Eukaryota; Viridiplantae; Streptophyta; Magnoliopsida; Malpighiales; Euphorbiaceae
Source: RNAcentral
CAGAUUCGUUUGAAACUCCACCAUUUUCAACUGCAGAUCCUGCAACUUUUUCCACAUUUGAUGAAGGGAUCUCGGCGUUUGUGGGUUGAUCGGCCUCCGGUUUGGCUGUUGACGAAAUGGGGCUAUUCCGAAGGCUGAAAGUAGCGGCGUUCUCAUCGUCAUACUUCACAGGACGCGGUCUUUUCCUCUUGGGUGCGGUGGCUGAUAUCGGAGUGACAGAAGAACUGGAAUUUUGAGGCAAAGUGGAAG